This 292-nucleotide ribosomal RNA is filed under the name uncultured bacterium. Its description in RNAcentral is "partial 16S ribosomal RNA". It matches the Rfam family "Bacterial small subunit ribosomal RNA", at positions 505 to 796 of the family's 1533-position model. The record is from RNAcentral.
GUGCCAGCCGCCGCGGUAAUACGAGGGGGGCAAGCGUUGUUCGGAAUUAUUGGGCGUAAAGGGUGCGUAGGCGGUUUUGUAAGUCUUGUGUGAAAUCUUCAGGCUCAACUUGAAGACUGCACGAGAAACUGCAGGGCUUGAGUGUGGGAGAGGUGAGUGGAAUUCCUGGUGUAGCGGUGAAAUGCGUAGAUAUCAGGAGGAACACCUGUGGCGAAAGCGGCUCACUGGACCACAACUGACGCUGAUGCACGAAAGCUAGGGGAGCAAACAGGAUUAGAAACCCUCGUAGUCC